AGGCGAGAAGCCAACACAAACAGGAUGCCGCUACCUGGGACGGGGCUGCUGCCCUAUCUGAUCUGGCAUUCCUGCCGCAAGGAGUGGCCUGCGUGCAAUUUUGUUCCUACUGCUGUUCAGGGGCACAGGAACUUGGGUAUGUUUUGUAAACAGAGUAGAAAAUAGCCAGCCUCUGCAGCCCCGAUUUCUCACCCAAACCACCCAGCAAGGCCCUGACUGCUUGGCCAAAGGAGCAACAACAGCGAUCAUGCAGCUCCCACCAGCCUGCUCUGUGGCCGGAGAAGGGGAGCUGCUCACACUCACGGGGCUAAGGGCCAUCUGCGGGGGGGAGUGUUCUACAACAGAGGAGCAGAAAUAAUUCUGUCACCUAGCAGUAUUGCCCAGAGGCCUAGAUUGGCAUCAGAUCCGCAUUGUGCUAGGAGCUGUUCAAACACAUACGCAGAUGAGGCCCUGCAGAAAGAUGCCAAUAUAAGCAGAAUUAUUGCCCAGAGGCCUAGAUUGGCAUCAGAUCCGCAUUGUGCUAGGAGCUGUUCAAACACAUACGCAGAUGAGGCCCUGCAGAAAGAUGCCAAUAUAAGCAGAAUGUAAGCAUUGACUUGUUCUA
Dermochelys coriacea (leatherback sea turtle) is the source of this 604-nucleotide long non-coding RNA. RefSeq lists it as uncharacterized. NCBI's taxonomy places the organism in Eukaryota, Metazoa, Chordata, Testudines, Dermochelyidae. The record is from RefSeq and is a predicted model, not a curated record. The transcript has 3 exons.